Molecule: ribosomal RNA, 185 nt
Filed under: uncultured Clostridium sp.
Lineage: Bacteria; Bacillati; Bacillota; Clostridia; Eubacteriales; Clostridiaceae
Description: partial 16S ribosomal RNA
Rfam family: Bacterial small subunit ribosomal RNA
Source: RNAcentral
GGCACGGGGGGCCUACGGGAGGCAGCAGUGGGGAAUAUUGCACUCUGGGGGAGAUCCUGAUGCAGCAACGCCGCGUGAGUGAUGAAGGUCUUCGGAUCGUAAAGCUCUGUCUUCAGGGACGAUAAUGACGGUACCUGAGGAGGAAGCUACGGCUAACUACGUGCCAGCAGCCGCGGUAAUAAACA